Molecule: ribosomal RNA, 198 nt
Filed under: uncultured bacterium
Lineage: Bacteria
Description: partial 16S ribosomal RNA
Rfam family: Bacterial small subunit ribosomal RNA
Source: RNAcentral
ACGCUCGACACCUACGGAAGGCAGUAGUGGGGAAUAUUGCACAAUGGGGGAAACCCUGAUGCAGCAACGCCGCGUGAAGGAAGACGGUUUUCGGAUUGUAAACUUCUGUUCUUAGUGAAGAUAGUGACGGUAGCUAAGGAGCAAGCCACGGCUAACUACGUGCCAGCAGCCGCGGUAAUCUGAGCGGGCUGGCAAGGC